This 446-nucleotide ribosomal RNA is filed under the name uncultured bacterium. RNAcentral describes it as "partial 16S ribosomal RNA". It matches the Rfam family "Bacterial small subunit ribosomal RNA", at positions 338 to 795 of the family's 1533-position model. The record is from RNAcentral.
CCUACGGGUGGCAGCAGUCGAGAAUAAUUCACAAUGGGGGAAACCCUGAUGGUGCGACGCCGCGUGGGGGAAUGAGGGUCUUCGGUUUGUAAACCCCUGUCAUGUGGGAGCAAAUUAAAAAGACAGUACCACAAGAGGAAGAGACGGCUAACUCUGUGCCCGCAGCCGCGGUAAUACAGCGGUCUCAAGCGGUGUUCGGAAUCACUGGGCGUAACGGGUGCGUUGGCUGUUUCGUAAGUCGUGUGUGAAAGGCGCGGGCUCAACCCGCGGACGGGAAAUGGUACUGCGGGACUAGAGUAAUGGAGGGGGAAGCGGAAUUCGUGGUGUAGCAGGGAAAUGCGGAGAUGGCGAGAGGGACACUCGAUGCGAAGGCGGGUUCCUGGACAUUAACUGACGCUGAGGCACGAAGGCCAGGGGAGCGAAAGGGAUUAGAUACCCUAGUAGUC